RNAcentral lists this ribosomal RNA (253 nucleotides) under uncultured bacterium. Its description in RNAcentral is "partial 16S ribosomal RNA". It matches the Rfam family "Bacterial small subunit ribosomal RNA", at positions 524 to 776 of the family's 1533-position model. The record is from RNAcentral.
UACGUAGGGUGCAAGCGUUGUCCGGAAUUAUUGGGCGUAAAGAGCUCGUAGGCGGUCUGUCGCGUCGGAUGUGAAAAUCCAGGGCUCAACCCUGGACCUGCAUUCGAUACGGGCAGACUAGAGUUCGGUAGGGGAGACCGGAAUUCCUGGUGUAGCGGUGAAAUGCGCAGAUAUCAGGAGGAACACCGGUGGCGAAGGCGGAUCUCUGGGCCUUACCUGACGCUCAGGUGCGAAAGCUAGGGGAGCGAACAGG